Bombina bombina (fire-bellied toad) is the source of this 2213-nucleotide long non-coding RNA. RefSeq lists it as uncharacterized. The transcript has 4 exons. The record is from RefSeq and is a predicted model, not a curated record. Lineage: Eukaryota; Metazoa; Chordata; Amphibia; Anura; Bombinatoridae.
GGCAUGUUCCGGUUACGGAGCUCCAUUUUAAUGUGCAGUGAAAUGUAACAACAAGUCAGAGAAAACAAAUGAUAUGAUGGAAUGGGCUAGUCUGUUGUGACCGGGCAAUGAUAUCACCACAGCAUUUAGACCGGAUCUGAUUCACUGAGAGACUUGAGCCAAUAAAACUCAUCUUCUCUGCUUGCCCCUCAACUAAAAUACCAGUCCAUCGCCACAAAUAUUUACAGAACAGCCAGCCCUGCUGAUGGGCUGCUACUCAAGUGUACGUUUUUGUCACUUCCCCCACGUUGAACUGCCCGCUGCCUGGUGUUCGGUAUGUGUGGAACAGCAGGCCUGCCAGGGUUCCACUGAGCAAGUGUGCAUGUGCUCUAUAUAGUGAGGACAGCGUGGGAUGAGGAGCAGACAUGACCGGCCCUGGACACCACAGUGACUUCAGUACUUUGGAUAGUGACUUUCUAAAAAAACAUAGAAAAACAACCACUUAUUUUGGAAGAAUACAAAAUCUUAUGAAUCAGAUUUAACGCUCCAACAAAAAACAAGACAUUCUCUAAAAGCUCUCUGCUAAGGCAACAUUCUCGUAAAAGAUACACCGGGGUAUGAGAUCUUUCAUCGGAUUCUUAAUAAGCAAAUUUGUUGUCAAACUUGAAAGUCUUGUAAAAGGUAAUAACGCACACUCACACUCUCAUACAAUACACACACACUUUCUUUCAACACACACGCACGCCCCACAGACUCUCAUACAACACAGGCAGACCACACACUCUCAUACAACACACACACACAUCACACACGCUUAUACAACAUACACACACCACACACACUCUCAUACAACACACACACAUGCCCCACACACUCUCAUACAACAUACACACAUAUCACACACGCUUAUACAACAUACACACACUCUCAUACAACACAAACACCACACACACUCUCAUAUAACACACCACAUACACUCUCAUACAACACACAAUCACACAUUGCACACUCUUAUACAAAACACACACUCAUACAACACACAUCACACAUCACACAUCACACACUCUUAUACAACAUACACACUCAUACAACACACAUCACACACUAUUAUACAACACACACUUACACAUCACACACUCUUAUACAACACACACACCAUACACACUCUCUUAUAACACACACACAUCACACACACUCUUAUACAACACACACUCACACAUCACACACUCGUAUGCAACACACACACACCCCACACACUCUCAUACAACACACACUCGCACAUCCCAAACUCUUAUACAACACACUUACACCACACACACUCUCAUAUAACAUAAACACUUUCCAACAACACACAACACACACUCUGAUACAACAAGCACACACCACAUACUCUUAUACAACACACACACACACUGUCAUACAACACACUUCCAUAUAACAUACACACUUUCCUACAACACACACACACCACAUACUCUUAUACAACACACACACACUGUCAUACAACACACUUUUAUAUAACAUACACACUCUCCUACAACACACACACACACCACAUACUCUUACAUAACACACACACAACACACAUUCUCAUACAACACACACACACACCACAUACUCUUAUAUAACACACACACAACACACAUUAUCAUACAACACACACACACACCACAUACUCUUAUACAACACACACACAAUGUAAUACAACACACUUUCAUAUAACAUACACACUCUCCUACAACACACACACCACAUACUCUUAUAUAACACACACACAACACACAUUCUCAUACAACACGCACACACCACAUACUCUUAUAUAGCACACAAACAACACACAUUAUCAUACAACACACACACACACACCACAUACUCUUAUACAACACACACACACACACUGUAAUACAACACACUUUCAUAUAACAUACAUACUCUCCUACAACACACACACCACAUACUCUUAUAUCACACACACACAACACACAUUCUCAUACAACACGCACACACCACAUACUCUUAUACAACACACACACACUGUCAUACAAAACACUUCCAUAUAACAUACACACUCUCCUACAACACACAAACCAAACAAACUCUCCUAUAACACACACUUUGCGAUCCAGUAAACAUGUUGCAGCGACCCAGUAAUGGGUCCUGACCCGUGGCAUGAAGAACCCUGAGAUAGAUAAUACAAUUUUAAAUUGCUUUCCAGUGUAUUUCUAUUAUUAAAU